Rattus norvegicus (Norway rat) is the source of this 385-nucleotide non-coding RNA. NCBI's taxonomy places the organism in Eukaryota, Metazoa, Chordata, Mammalia, Rodentia, Muridae. The record is from RefSeq and is a predicted model, not a curated record.
AACAGGAACCACUUGAAGCAGGGAAGUCCAGAUGCUUCUGACACGCUCCGAGCUCCGAGCUCCUGAUCCCAUGUGUGGAAGGCUCAGAUCAAUUCUAUCUCUUCAAGACAGGAGGGUAGCAUUAUUGUCCUCUGCAAGACUCAACAGAGCAGCCGACUGACACACGUGCACAGACAUACGGCCAAAUAUCGAAUGGAGCUCAGUGAGUCUCACUGAAGGGCUGAGGGAAGUGCAGACAGAGACAGAGGAGCACAAUGAUCUUCAGAACUAAGAAAAUCCAAUUUGUACCUGAGCACUUGACUCAAAAAUUGCCUUCUGCUCUCCUGAAGAUGAGACUACGAACCCUACUAUAGCUGGGAAUGGUAAUCCAGGUUGAUUCACUAAU